RNAcentral lists this ribosomal RNA (299 nucleotides) under alpha proteobacterium R2A130. Its description in RNAcentral is "partial 16S ribosomal RNA". It matches the Rfam family "Bacterial small subunit ribosomal RNA", at positions 46 to 372 of the family's 1533-position model. Lineage: Bacteria; Pseudomonadati; Pseudomonadota; Alphaproteobacteria. The record is from RNAcentral.
GGCUUAACACAUGCAAGUCGAACGCUCACUUCGGUGAGAGUGGCAGACGGGUGAGUAACACGUGGGAAUCUACCUAUCUCUGCGGAACAACACAUAGAAAUGUGUGCUAAUACCGCAUACGCCCUCCGGGGGAAAGAUUUAUCGGAGAUAGAUGAGCCCGCGCUUGAUUAGCUAGUUGGUGAGGUAAUGGCUCACCAAGGCGACGAUCAAUAGCUGGUCUGAGAGGAUGAUCAGCCACACUGGAACUGAGACACGGUCCAGACUCCUACGGGAGGCAGCAGUGGGGAAUAUUGGACAAU